CUCCAGCUCAAUCUCGUCCUCUCACUCUCUCUCUCUCUCUCUCUUUUGUGAUUCGCCAUGGCAUACCUUCAGUUACAAAAAAUAGCGAUAUCAGGUCCGACACUAGCUUCCAUGAUCCAACGGUUGUCCUCUUCCCCUGGCGACGUGGACGGCUUCAUCUUCGGCCAUGUCACUCAAAUCACCACUCUGUCCGACGACACCUCCUCCUCCGAUAACUCCGCCUCCCAACUCACUGCCACUAUCACCAGCUUUCUCUGCUCCGGCUCACCUCUCUCCUUCUACGACGCACUCGGGCGGGUCAACUCACCCAAAGUUCCCUCUUUUAACCAACAGAACCACCUCCUCGGCUGGUUCUCCGGCCGCCGCCAAUCCGCUAUCCGUCCAUCCAUGCGUGAAUUCGCUGUCACAAAUUCUCUCUCGAAAAUCCCCCAAUUUAAGUUUUCAAUUAAAAACUCUUCAGAAACCCUAAGUCCGUGCGUUUUCAUUCUGUUCACGACUCCCUUAACAGACCAACUGAUCCACACGCACCAGUACCGCGCGUACCAAUUCAACACUUCAAACAAAUCUUUUCACGCGAAGUCACUCGACGUGGUUAACAUCGGUCCCGCAUUUCGAGGACAUUACGAUAAUUUCGCCCCGAACUGCGCAUUGCCGUUGAUGAAUUGCUCGGCGAUGGAUGAGGAAAGCAUGUAUGCGAAUAAGGAAAAGGUGAGUGAUCAAAAACAAUUGGAUUUGUGUGCGGAAGGGUUUCAAAUUGAGAGGUUGAGGCGGCUGAUGGGACCCGAGGCGACGAAUUAUACAGAAGCUUUGGAGGAUUUGUAUGAGAAAAUGUUGGCUAAAGCUGAGAGUUUGACUCGGCUCGUGGAGUCCAGCUCGGCUAAGGUUUUCGAGUUGGAAAAUAACAAUAGAAAGUUGAGGUACAAGGUUUCUAGGUCUGCUGGAUCGGAAUAAUCGCUUGUUUGGUACCGUCUUAUUGCUGGUUCAUUAUCAGAGAAGUGCCCAUUCUUUAGCUGACUGUUAGGCUGUGGGAAUUUUUCGGGUGGUUCUGUAAAGAUGCUACUUGUAGUUGGGAUCUUUUUGGUUGACUUUUGAGCUGAAGUUGGCAUAUACUCUGGAGCUGCUGAUGAUAAUAGAAGUGACAACUGUGAAUAUUUGGUGGUUCUGGAAAGAUGAGGAUGGCUUGACAUUGCUCCUAUUUGGCUUCGUGAUUUAACCAAUUGGAGUUAAUACUUGAAGCACUUGCGUGUGAUUUGGCCAGAUGGAAUUCAACUGUUUGAACAUCUUUAGAAGACAGUAGAAAUGUCAAUAAAUUAGCAAGAUUCACUGCUCCAUCUCGGACCACACCAAUUUCCAUGGUCCACUUUUUGUGCUCAACCUGCAAUAAAUUACAAUAGAUAU
Molecule: RNA transcript, 1398 nt
Organism: Pistacia vera
Lineage: Eukaryota; Viridiplantae; Streptophyta; Magnoliopsida; Sapindales; Anacardiaceae
Exons: 4
Source: RefSeq, a predicted model, not a curated record